GUGCCAGCCGCCGCGGUAAUACCGGCAGCCCGAGUGAUGGCCGAUAUUAUUGGGCCUAAAGCGUCCGUAGCUGGCCGAACAAGUCCGUCGGGAAAUCCGCCCGCUCAACGGGCGGCCGUCCGGCGGAACCUGUGUGGCUUGGGACCGGGAGGCCUGAGGGGUACGAUCGGGGUAGGAGUGAAAUCCCGUAAUCCUGGACGGACCGCCGAUGGCGAAAGCACGUCGCGAGAACGGAUCCGACAGUGAGGGACGAAAGCCAGGGUCUCGAACCGGAUUAGAAACCCCUGUAGUCC
This 293-nucleotide ribosomal RNA is filed under the name uncultured bacterium. Its description in RNAcentral is "partial 16S ribosomal RNA". It matches the Rfam family "Archaeal small subunit ribosomal RNA", at positions 455 to 747 of the family's 1478-position model. The record is from RNAcentral.